UCCGAGUUGUAAUUUGUAGAGGAUGCUUUUGGCGCGGUGCCUUCCGAGUGCCCUGGAACGGGACGCCACAGAGGGUGAGAGCCCCGUAUGGUCGGACACCAAGCCUGUGUAAAGCUCCUUCGACGAGUCGGGUAGCUUGGGAAUGCUGCUCUAAGUGGGAGGUAAACUUCUUCUAAAGCUAAAUACUGGCCAGAGACCGAUAGCGCACAAGUAGAGUGAUCGAAAGAUGAAAAGCACUUUGAAAAGAGGGUCAAAUAGUACGUGAAAUUGUUGAAAGGGAAGCGCUCAUGACCAGACUUGCGCCGGGCUGAUCAUCCAGUGGUUUCCACUGGUGCACUCUGCCCGGCCCAGGCCAGCGUCGGCUGUCACGGGGGGACAAAAGCACUGGGAAAGUAGCUCUCUCCGGGGAGUGUUAUAGCCCUAUGCAGAAUACCCCCGCGGCGGCCGAGGUCCGCGCUCUGCAAGGACGCUGGCGUAAUGGUCAUCAGCGACCCGUCUUGAAACACGGACCAAGGAGUCGAGGUUUUGCGCGAGUGUUCGGGUGCAAAGCCCCAGCGCGUAAUUAAAGUGAACGUAGGUGAGAGCUUCGGCGCAUCAUCGACCGAUCCUGAUGUAUUCGGAUGGAUUUGAGUAGGAGCGUAAAGCCUCGGACCCGAAAGAUGGUGAACUAUGCCUGUAUAGGGUGAAGCCAGAGGAAACUCUGGUGGAGGCUCGCAGCGGUUCUGACGUGCAAAUCGAUCGUCAAAUAUGGGCAUGGGGGCGAAAGACUAAUCGAACCAUCUAGUAGCUGGUUACCGCCGAAGUUUCCCUCAGGAUAGCAGUGUUGUUCUUCAGUUUUAUGAGGUAAAGCGAAUGAUUAGGGACUCGGGGGCGCUAUUUAGCCUCCAUCCAUUCUCAAACUUUAAAUAUGUAAGAAGCCCUUGUUACUUAGUUGAACGUGGGCCUUCGAAUGUACCAACACUAGUGGGCCAUUUUUGGUAAGCAGAACUGGCGAUGCGGGAUGAACCGAACGCGAGGUUAAGGUGCCGGAGUGGACGCUCAUCAGACACCACAAAAGGUGUUAAUACAUCUUGACAGCAGGACGGUGGCCAUGGAAGUCGGAAUCCGCUAAGGACUGUGUAACAACUCACCUGCCGAAUGUAUUAGCCCUGAAAAUGGAUGGCGCUCAAGCGUCCCACCCAUACCUCGCCCUCAGGGUAGAAGCGAUGCCCUGAGGAGUAGGCGGCCGUGGGGGUCAGUGACGAAGCCUAGGGCGUGAGCCCGGGUCGAACGGCCUCUAGUGCAGAUCUUGGUGG
This 1295-nucleotide ribosomal RNA is filed under the name Cephalotheca sulfurea. RNAcentral describes it as "eukaryotic LSU rRNA". It matches the Rfam family "Eukaryotic large subunit ribosomal RNA", at positions 137 to 1457 of the family's 3401-position model. The record is from RNAcentral. Lineage: Eukaryota; Fungi; Ascomycota; Sordariomycetes; Cephalothecales; Cephalothecaceae.